CAGUAGCCGCGGUAAUACGUAGGGUGCAAGCGUUAAUCGGAAUUACUGGGCGUAAAGCGUGCGCAGGCGGUUUGUUAAGACAGAUGUGAAAUCCCCGGGCUCAACCUGGGAACUGCAUUUGUGACUGGCAAGCUAGAGUGUGGCAGAGGGGGGUGGAAUUCCGCGUGUAGCAGUGAAAUGCGUAGAUAUGCGGAGGAACAUCUGUGGCGAAGGCGACUAUCUGGGCCAACACUGACACUGAGGCACGAAAGCGUGGGGAGCAAACAGGAUUAGAGACCCCAGUAGUCCCUGUCUCUUAUAC
Molecule: ribosomal RNA, 301 nt
Filed under: uncultured bacterium
Lineage: Bacteria
Description: partial 16S ribosomal RNA
Rfam family: Bacterial small subunit ribosomal RNA
Source: RNAcentral